CUGUGUGGAACACAAGUCUUCUUUUUGAUAGUCUGGGAUUCUACUCAUCAAUGGAUGACAUUUUCACCCGUCUAUUGACACUGGCUAGUUAUAUAAGUCGUCGAUUAAUUCAAUUUAUUGAGGAUCUUGCGGUCAGAGAUGCUGAUAGAUACUCAGAUGAUUUGCUGGUCAUUUCUGCUGGA
Molecule: non-coding RNA, 182 nt
Organism: Prunus avium (sweet cherry)
Lineage: Eukaryota; Viridiplantae; Streptophyta; Magnoliopsida; Rosales; Rosaceae
Source: RefSeq, a predicted model, not a curated record